Molecule: long non-coding RNA, 3174 nt
Organism: Mesocricetus auratus (golden hamster)
Lineage: Eukaryota; Metazoa; Chordata; Mammalia; Rodentia; Cricetidae
Exons: 4
Source: RefSeq, a predicted model, not a curated record
AAGAGAAGAGAUGGCUAGAGUCCACUGGCCAUCUAGUCCAGCUAAACCAGCAAGCUCUGGGUUCAACAAGACACCCUGUGCCAAACAGAUACAGCAGAGAGCAACAGAGGGAGACAUCCGACAUAGACCUCUUGCCUUCACGUGAGCACUCACAGGUACCUGCUCGCUGUCCAAAUUAUCAAGGACAGACAAAACUGGUGAGUGAAGCGCAAAGCCCCAUGGGAAUUCAAGAAAGGCCUCUGCAGCAGGCCGACGCCCCCAUGCCCUAGCAUGGUGCAGGCUACACCCAAGGACCAGGCUGACCACAGAAGCUGCCAGAGGAUGGGGUUCCAGGGAUGAAGCUCAUGUCAUCACACUUAGCCACAAGCGCCUGUACCCCCUGAGUCAUCUUGAUCGCCCUGCAAUCAAACGUGUAUCUUCAUCCUUGCACGGCAAGUGUCUUUGCCCACUGAGCAUCUCUGCAGUCACAGGCCCAUUUUUUUUUUCAUGGUGACCGAGCAUACAGGCUAUGCCUCCAGUUUCCCACUGUGUCUGGGGCCCAGACUCCCCUCAGUAGACAGGCUCCCUCUCAAGUGCCCAUAAAGACUCCCAGGAGAAGAAGAUGGCACAGCUCAAAUAAGACCAAGACCAAAACCAGACCCAAACCCCGCCCCAAAGCAGACAGGUGGAGCUCUGCACCCACUGACAAGCUUCUGUCCUUCCUGAGGACAAGAGUUGUUGAAAGGGCAGUCACAGAGCCUGCUCACAGCCGGCAGACGGUCACCCUGGGAGCAUGUGUGUUGCAUUAUUACAUCACUGUGCCUAAUACCAUUAAGCUGGGGACUGGAACUGAAAUACGACGGCGAUUUUCGUCUCUGUUUUUGCAACGGACCCAAACAUUUUGGUAUGUGUUAAAUCAAGCUCCAAGAAUCCAGCCCAGCUAAAGCCUCCACCCAGGGAAGCCAAGACCAGCUUGGACUGGAAACCCACAACAUACCAGUUCUUGGAUCACACCCAAAAUUGGCGAGUUAUCAGAGACAAGAAGUUUGUAGAGUGUACACGCUCUGCAGCCCUCAUUUCUCAGGAAUGACGUCCAGGGCCAAAUAAAACCUUCUUUUUUUUUCUCUCUCUGAAGCAGCCUAACUGGUAUGCAGAAGGGAGAUUCUCCCCCUGGGGCCAUCUUGACUUUUGAAAUUGGGAAGGAAUAAGAACUAAUAAGACCCUCAUGACCACCUGAUGUCAACCACUCCUCGCUUCUCACUUGCUUACUCCGCGUUCCCGGGUACCAACCUUGUAGCGUGAUCAGAAGACAGUUACCACCGGCAGAACUUAGGCAGGCCCAGCCCUGUGCCUGGUCUUUAGGGUCGAAUCACAGUCACUCAUGCUCUUGGUUAGGUUUUGGAUCUCUGAGAUAAGGCACAUCUGGGAAAGAGCUUGAACUCUGUGUCAAGUCACCUGGCUCCUGCCUCCAGCCCUCACAAUGGUCAGGUUGUCUGAUGUCUCCGUGUCACCAUUUCCACCUCCAUGAAUGGGCAUGGAUGAGUCCCAUCUUCGAAGAACUGGGAAGAUGGGGUGAGAAUGUGCCCAUUAAGGACCUGAAAUACAGACAUGCCCUCAGAGCCGCCCCCUCCCUUCCCAGAGCUCCAUGAAGGACUGAACCUGGAGCAGCCGAUCCCAUUAUGUAUUCCCUAGGAGCUGUGGGCAUGGGGAUGGACAGGAGCCUAGACAGCUGCCUUGGUUCAUUUUUUUAGAUGCUAUAACAAAACAACGAAGACCAGGGACUUUAUUUACGAGGGAGACUGAGAGUUCAAGAUUGAACAACUCCAUCUUCUGUCAACAUCUCAACAUGGUGAACAGGUGAGGAAAGAGAGGUCACAUGAUGAGGCAGGGAGUAAGAGAGCAUGUGGAAUGUCACUGUUUUACUGAAACCCCAUGUCUCAGAAGCUAAUUUUGUGAGACCCAACCCACUUCUGGAAACCAGCAUUAGCCACCCCCAACGGUGGUGAGACUCACACGAGAUUAUCUGACCUACACAGCUGUAAGUAACCUGGAGUUGUUUUAAACCUUGGGAAAGAAAGCUGAGGGGGGAGGAAAGAGAGAAGGGAAGAGAGGUGUGAGAGAGGGAAGUCAAGGGAGGGGAAGGAGAAGAGACACAAAGGAACAAAGAGUGAAGGAGAAGGUAGCUCUGAUAUUAUUAGUUGGAAUCUCUAUAUUUGCCAGUUGAAUCUUAUAGGCUGAAGGUAUCAAGUUCUCACAGGUUUUCUGUGUAGUUGUCAUAUCAAUUGUUGAACAAGGGGUAUUGAAAUAUUUGCUUAUGGUAGUAUAUUUCUCUAUUUAUUCAGUGCUAGCAGGUUCUGCUUCACCUGAUUGGAUGUUCUGUUUACUUGGUGGCUCUAUACUUAAGGCUGCUGUAUGUUCUCGGUUGAUUGCCUUGUCAGUAUGUAAUGCCCCUCUCUGUCUCUGGUAAUUAUCUUUGAUGUGAAGUCUACUGAGUCUAACAUAAGCAUAGCACUGCCUUCACUCCUGUUUUUGACAGUUCUGGGAAUUGAACUGAGGGCUUUGUGCAUGAUAGGCAAACACUGUCGCAAAGCUACCUCCCCAGACCACUUCUUUCAUUGAUUGACAUUUCUACGAUGUCUCUCCUCAUCUUUUCCUUUUCAAUGUACUUUUGUAACGUUCAUCAGGGGAAGGUAAUUCUGUUGUGUUUGCCAAUCUCUGUUUUUAAUUGAUGUUUUUAGGUCUUUUACAUUUAGUGUACCAAAUUGAUAUUUAGGACUUCAUUAUGCCAUUUAAAUUUUUUGUCUUCUGCCUCUCAUUUAUGUAUUUUUUCCUUUAGCUAUGUGAGUUACUAAUAUAUUUUAAAAGAUCACUUUUAGAUAAUUCCACUCUAGUUUAUCUAUAGUGUUUCAGAGUGUAUCUUUUCACAUAGCAAUUUUAGUGAUUUCUCUAGAUAUGAAAUUUUAUAGGCAUAAAAUCUUAUGUCAUCAUUUUAUCCAUUUGAGUGAACACAAAGAUUCACCUUAUUUUAUGUCCUGCUUAUAAUUUCCUUAUGUUUCCUUUAUAAACAUUGUUUGAAAUCACAUCACACAGCAUUAUAAUUUUGCUUCUAUUGUCAAGCAUAAUUUAGAAAACACAAAGAAAGAGCAUUAUAGUUGCCCAUAUUUUACUAUGUUAUUCCGUCCUUCUCAACUGUUC